UGGUUGCAAUGAACCAGUGUGCUGCCGAGUCUUGUCUCUAAAGCUUAGUUUACUAUUUAUCAUUUAUUUUUAAGGUUUGCGUUAACUAAAGACCCUUUUACCAUUAUUUAAAAGUGUAAAAAUAGCAUUAGCUAGUUUCGGAGUUGUUUAGUUAUUUGCAAACAAAAACACCUGUUGUGGGGCUAGUAUAGGUCUACUAAUCGUGUUCAAGUACUUCGUGAUCACUUCACACCCGAUAACCAUAAAAGAGAAAGCUACGGGCAAUGACCGUUUUCUCCGACAACACCAUGCAAUUUCAGCAGUUUCUGACAGAACCGUGUGAGUGAACGAACCGUUAGGUUUUCUCCGUCGCGCCUGAAAUGAUGUGUACGAUGAACAUUUGCGUUGGGAAAUACAAGUGCUACUCGUCUGCUAUUCCGAACUUCUUAGUGCGGAUGCAUUAAGUAUAGAAACGUAUUAUUUGCCAUAAAGAAGGCGUUGAGCAUGAAGGCUCGGCAAUAGUCCUGCAACCAGCAACAUCUGAUGAUCCCCAUUCGCUUCUCGUUAUUAUCUCGUUAUGAAUCUACAUGAGUGUGAUGACCUUGUGCCAUGGUACGAUUCCGAGUUCGAUGUGAAGCGCAUAGUAGAAUCUAUGUGCGUGGUUUUCAACUUUACUGUAGGCAUGUUCAAGUGAGGCUAACGAACUUUAAAAUGCAAUAGGUUGGGUCCAGUUUUGUCCAAAAGGGUUUCAAGCAAAUGAUUUUUCACACUUGCAUAGCGAUAGCUGGCAACAAAAAGACUCUUUCGGUUGCUAUCGUCUUUAUAUGGAUUGCUGAAAUUAUUGCAGCAUUAAGCAUUACUUAUAUAACCUCAAAAUGAAAAAAAGCACCUAGAAUAAAUAAAAACUUUUCAUGAGUGAGCAAGUUUACUGCAAAGUAGUAUGCAUUUUUACACGUAUUAAAUGGUUUACAUAAUAUUUGUUUUGUUACUUAUUAAAGAGUAUCUCAUUGUCGUUGCCACCGUAUUGGCAAAAAAAAAAAAGAAAAAAGACUAAAGAAUUGUGCGGUCCCAAUUCAACCGUAUAUUGUUGGCACAGGCUUGUGAAAUCAAGAAGGCAGACAAGCAUUUCAAGGCAGCCGUCGUCUCGUAUGUCAUAGAGAAAAAAAUUAGUUUCUUCGCUUGAAGAAGUCUGCUUCCACAACUAGACUUUUAAAAUGUUUUCUACAAAUUAUCUCCCAUUGAAUGUUUCCCUCCCCCAAUCAAGUUUUGUAAAAAGCAUUGAAAGAGGUUUUUCCAAUGUUUGUAUCUUCUUUGCUCCCAUUUCAUUUCCCCUUACUUGUUCCAGACAGAUGCCCUGGCCCUUCUUAAUGUGUUAUGCCCACAGAACUCGGAGACAGGCGGCGGCGCUCGCGUCAGUUUUCGAUUUCCAAAAUGAAUUUUCUGCUUCUUGUAUUUUACGCACUGCCAACAU
Daphnia carinata is the source of this 1450-nucleotide long non-coding RNA. RefSeq lists it as uncharacterized. NCBI's taxonomy places the organism in Eukaryota, Metazoa, Arthropoda, Branchiopoda, Diplostraca, Daphniidae. The transcript is spliced from 3 exons. The record is from RefSeq and is a predicted model, not a curated record.